CGUAGGUGAACCUGCGGAAGGAUCAUUAAAGAGUAAGGGUGCUCAGCGCCCGACCUCCAACCCUUUGUUGUUAAAACUACCUUGUUGCUUUGGCGGGACCGCUCGGUCUCGAGCCGCUGGGGAUUCGUCCCAGGCGAGCGCCCGCCAGAGUUAAACCAAACUCUUGUUAUUUAACCGGUCGUCUGAGUUAAAAUUUUGAAUAAAUCAAAACUUUCAACAACGGAUCUCUUGGUUCUCGCAUCGAUGAAGAACGCAGCGAAAUGCGAUAAGUAAUGUGAAUUGCAGAAUUCAGUGAAUCAUCGAAUCUUUGAACGCACAUUGCGCCCCUUGGUAUUCCGAGGGGCAUGCCUGUUCGAGCGUCAUUACACCACUCAAGCUAUGCUUGGUAUUGGGUGCCGUCCUUAGUUGGGCGCGCCUUAAAGACCUCGGCGAGGCCUCACCGGCUUUAGGCGUAGUAGAAUUUAUUCGAACGUCUGUCAAAGGAGAGGACUUCUGCCGACUGAAACCUUUAUUUUUCUAGGUUGACCUCGGAUCAGGUAGGGAUACCCGCUGAACUUAAGCAUAUCAA
RNAcentral lists this ribosomal RNA (568 nucleotides) under Aureobasidium pullulans. RNAcentral's name for it is "eukaryotic LSU rRNA". The stretch from base 209 to 362 matches the Rfam family "5.8S ribosomal RNA". Lineage: Eukaryota; Fungi; Ascomycota; Dothideomycetes; Dothideales; Saccotheciaceae. The record is from RNAcentral.